GCUAUGGCGUGUCCACCUACUCAGGAGGCUGAGGCUGGAGGAUUGCUUGAGUCCGGGAGUUCUGGGCUGUAGUGCCCUAUGCCGAUUAGAUGUCUGCACAAAGUUUGCAAUCAAUAUUGUGACCUCCCAUGAGUGGGGGACCACCAGGUUGCCUAUGGAGGGGUUAACCGGUGAACUGGCCCAGGUCAGAAACGGAGCAGGUCAAAACUCCCAUGCUGAUCAGUAGUGGAAUUGUGCCUGUGAAUAGCCACUGCACUCCAGCCUGGGCAACAUAGUGAGAUCCCGUCUCUU
This 291-nucleotide signal recognition particle RNA is filed under the name Callithrix jacchus (white-tufted-ear marmoset). RNAcentral's name for it is "Metazoan signal recognition particle RNA (ENSCJAG00000045654.3)". It matches the Rfam family "Metazoan signal recognition particle RNA". Rfam says of the family: The signal recognition particle (SRP) is a universally conserved ribonucleoprotein. It is involved in the co-translational targeting of proteins to membranes. The record is from Rfam by way of RNAcentral. Lineage: Eukaryota; Metazoa; Chordata; Mammalia; Primates; Cebidae.